CCUACGGGUGGCAGCAGUGGGGAAUAUUGCGCAAUGGGCGAAAGCCUGACGCAGCGACGCCGCGUGAGGGAUGAAGGUCUUCGGAUCGUAAACCUCUUUCAGCAGGGAAGAACGGUCACUGUGCUAAUCAUCUUUGCAUUUACUUUACCUGCAAAGUAAGCACCGGCUAACUCCGUGCCAGCAGCCGCGGGAAUACGGAGGGUGCGUGCGUUGAUCGGAAUUACUGGGCGUAAAGCGCUCGUAGUCGGGAUGUCAAGUCAAGGGUGAAAUCCCCGCGCUCCACGUGGGAACUGGCUUUGAAAAUGGGAAACUGGAGGGUGUGAGAGGAUAGUGGAAUUCCAGGUGGAGGAGUGAAAUCCGUAGAUAUCUGGAGGAACAUCAGUGGCGAAGGCGACUAUAUGGCACAGAACUGACGCUGAGGAGCGAAAGCGUGGGUAGCAAACAGGAUUAGAUACCCUGGUAGUC
Molecule: ribosomal RNA, 465 nt
Filed under: uncultured bacterium
Lineage: Bacteria
Description: partial 16S ribosomal RNA
Rfam family: Bacterial small subunit ribosomal RNA
Source: RNAcentral